RNAcentral lists this long non-coding RNA (930 nucleotides) under Gallus gallus (chicken). Its description in RNAcentral is "lncRNA (ENSGALG00010004766.1)". The record is from RNAcentral. Lineage: Eukaryota; Metazoa; Chordata; Aves; Galliformes; Phasianidae.
CUUCACAGCCAUCUUGGGCUACUCUGACACUGAUGUGGGUGUCCUUGUCCUUCAGAUUCACCCACAGAUACCUCCUUCUGCAGCCCUGACAGGAACUGCUGUUUAUGGGAGAACAAAGAGCAGGGGAGGAGAAUGCUCUUGGGAUAACAACUGAAGGUCAAGGAGAGGUCUCUGAAGGAGCUUUGCAGCUACGUGCUCAUCAUAGCUAGCAAAAAAUAGGAAUAGAAUAAUGCCAACUCACAAUGAUUUAUUAUGUGGGUUGCACCAAAAGUAAUGCUCCCUAUUUAUUUCCAUGGAAACUACAACAGAUAAAAAGAGCACAAUAACACUGUUUGAAAGAGCAAAUUUUAACUACAGAACACUGUUUUUCAACAUACUCACCACCAUUAGCUGUGCUUUUUCACUAGUGGUGAAGAAGAGCCUGCAUGCUGCGCUCAUUAACAUCUACACCAGCAUAGGUGACCCACUGUCACUGUCAACACUGCUGAAACACACCACCCACUGCCUCACUGCACUCACAUCCACUGCUUGGUCUCCACCAACAUUCAGCAAAUGUUGAUAAAUGUCAGUGGGUACAAUUUUUUUCUGCAUGAAGGAAUUUGAUGACACAUUUUUGCUUCAUCUGCACUUCCACGUCAGACGCCAUUUUGUCAGACUGCCCCUUUAAUGCCAUCUGUCACAUGGCAGCAGCACGUAAUGGAAUGUUUGGCCUCUACUGCCUUACCACCAACAUCUGCCUCUGAUGUCAUGUGCCAACGUAAUAAAAUAGGAGGCAUCACUUUUGGAGCAACCCUCAUACAAAAUACUUGCACUUCAGGCUUCCUUUCCUUACCUAAAAGUAAUUUUACUUUUUUUUCUAUUUUAUUCUCCAAGUAUGUUGUCUCCAUGCAUCAUGAACACAAGCACUGCCUUUUAAGGAACAUGUUGGUG